RNAcentral lists this ribosomal RNA (1402 nucleotides) under Polypedates megacephalus (Hong Kong whipping frog). Its description in RNAcentral is "partial 16S rRNA". It matches the Rfam family "Bacterial large subunit ribosomal RNA", at positions 384 to 2594 of the family's 2925-position model. Lineage: Eukaryota; Metazoa; Chordata; Amphibia; Anura; Rhacophoridae. The record is from RNAcentral.
GCCCCAAAUUUAGCCUUAUGUUACUUUAUAAAUUUAACAGUCUUAAAUUUAUUUAAUAAAACAUUUUAACUCCUUAAGUAAAGGCGAUUGAAAAAGAUCUAAGCGCUAUAGAAACAGUACCGCAAGGGAAAAAUGAAAUAAUAAUGAAAUAAUUAAAGCUACUUACAGCAGAGCAUUUACCUCGUACCUUUUGCAUCAUGGCCUAGCAAGACUUAACAAGCAAAACGAAAUUUAAGUUUUAAAUCCCGAACCUAGGCGAGCUACUUUAAAACAGCCUUUUGGGCCAACCCGUCUCUGUAGUAACAUAGUGGGAAGAUUUUUAAGUAGAAGUGAAAAGCCUAUCGAGCCUAGAAAUAGCUGGUUAUUCAUGAAAAGAAUAUAAGUUCUGCCUUAAGUUUCCCCCAUGGUCCCUAACAACAUUUUAAACUUAAGAGUUAUUUAAAUAAGGAACAGCUUAUUUAAGACAGGACACAACCUAGACAAUAGGGUAAAAUCUUAAUUACUCCCAAGUGGGCCUGAAAGCAGCCACCUUUUAAAAAGCGUCAAAGCUUAACCUUAACUCCCUAAAAUACCAUUAACCUUUAUGAACCCCUAAUUUAUAAUGAAUGACUCCAUAUAAUUAUGGAAGACACCAUGCUAGGAUUAGUAACAAGAAUUUAUAAUUCUCCAAAAUGCAAACAUAAACCAAUAUGGAUAAACCAUUGGUAAUUACCGAACCUGAACUUACUGCAAUAACAUCUACAAGAAAACCCUGCAGUAUUUACUCGUUAACCUAACACCAGCGCAUUUCAGGAAAGAUUAAUAAAAAGAGAAGGAAUUCGGCAAAUGACGACCCCGCCUGUUUACCAAAAACAUCGCCUCUUGACUUAUAAAUAAGAGGUCCAGCCUGCCCAGUGAAUUUUUAACGGCCGCGGUAUCCUAACCGCGCGAAGGUAGCAUAAUCACUUGUUCUUUAAAUGGGGACUCGUAUCAACGGCAUCACGAGGGUUAUACUGUCUCCUCUUUUUGAUCAGUGAAAUUGAUCUUCCCGUGAAGAAGCGGGAAUACUUAUAUAAGACGAGAAGACCCCAUGGAGCUUUAAACCAAAUAGCAACUUAACCAUAUAUUGCCCAAUAACUUUAAGCCCGUGCUACAAGGUUUUUGGUUGGGGUGACCGCGGAGUAAAGCACAUCCUCCACGACGGAAAGACUAUAAUCUUUAUUUAAGAACUACAAUUCUAGAAAUUAGUAUACUAACGUUUACUGACCCGACAAUCGAUCAACGGAACAAGUUACCCUGGGGAUAACAGCGCAAUCUACUUCAAGAGCCCAUAUCGACAAGUAGGCUUACGACCUCGAUGUUGGAUCAGGGUAUCCCAGUGGUGCAGCCGCUACUGAAGGUUCGUUUGUUCAACGAUUAAAAC